UAAGGAAUAUUGGUCAAUGGACGCAAGUCUGAACCAGCCAUGCCGCGUGAAGGAUUAAGGUCCUCUGGAUUGUAAACUUCUUUUAUCUGGGACGAAAAAACGGCGAUUCUUCGUCACUUGACGGUACCAGAUGAAUAAGCACCGGCUAACUCCGUGCCAGCAGCCGCGGUAAUACGGAGGGUGCAAGCGUUAUCCGGAUUCACUGGGUUUAAAGGGUGCGUAGGCGGGCAGGUAAGUCAGUGGUGAAAUCCUAGAGCUUAACUCUAGAACUGCCAUUGAUACUAUCUGUCUUGAAUAUUGUGGAGGUAAGCGGAAUAUGUCAUGUAGCGGUGAAAUGCUUAGAUAUGACAUAGAACACCUAUUGCGAAGGCAGCUUACUACGCAUAUAUU
RNAcentral lists this ribosomal RNA (390 nucleotides) under uncultured bacterium. RNAcentral's name for it is "partial 16S ribosomal RNA". It matches the Rfam family "Bacterial small subunit ribosomal RNA", at positions 355 to 741 of the family's 1533-position model. The record is from RNAcentral.